AUAAAAUAAAAAAGAAAGAAAGAGGGCUCUCCAUCCCUCAAAUGGCCAGCGGUCUACCGAUCCCGUCACGUCACCACCAUGGCCGGCGUCUGGCAAUGGAAAAGGAGCUCUUUUUCCCCCACUUCACGACAUCCUUGAGAGCCCGAAGCUCUCUCAAUUCGUGAGAGUCAAAACAAGGGGGUUUUCGGCCCCUUUGGACCCGAUUCAGGCGACGGAGGAGGGACCCUCCGACGGCGCAACCAUGGCCACUUCCGGUGAGUUCCCUUUUAUUUAUUUUAUUACUAAUAUUCUAAAAAAAAGUAGAUAAAAUAAAAGAAAAAAGAUCUUAUAAACAGAAUGAUAGAGAAAAAGAAAAAAGGAAAACCUUUGAUCUGUUUUCUGCUUUUAUUUCUUUCUUUUAAUUUUUUUUCUUUUCAAAAAUCGGGACUCCCCCUUACAGUGAUGAAGCCCCCCUUUCAUUUUACAAUAUUCGGCCUUAUAGCCGAGAGAAAGCUAAAUUUUCUGUCUAGUCUUGUCUGCUUCUGCUUUUCUUCUUGCGUGUUUGCAGGUGACCGUACGGCGAUAGCAGGAGGUGUCAGACGCACAUGGUAGCAGGUGGCGCGGCGCUGGAGAGGCAGAGGCAUGCGUGAGGAGGCUGGUGGCUAGGGGUGGACUUAAGUGUAGCAGUAGCAACAGCAGCUAGGGUUUCCUGCUGUAAUUUUUUUUAAUUUUUUUGGGCUUUAGGUGUAGGUUUUUAUUUUUUACUGGGCCAGCAAAUUUGGGCUUCUACAUAUUUAAUUCUACUUCACUAAGAUUUAUUAGAAUAAUAGCCUAAAUCACUGAUCUGUCAAUCACUUAUGCAUAUAGCUUUUUUAUCACUGAAAGGUUAUCUCCUUCAAUCACGACCUUGCUGAGGCCCAAAUCCAACCCUAUCUGAACUGCCUAGAGACAUGCUAUCGCUCUCGCUGCUGCAAUAGGGGUAGGUAUGUGAUCAUUUAUAAUUAUUCUCGAACCCAUUAUCUUACCAUCCGUAUUACAGGCAAUUAACCUAAACAAUAUUUUUUUUUAUUUGGAAAGGUAAGCUGCAUCAAAGUUAAUCUUGUACCAAAAGGGUUCAAGUGGUCUCCACCUUUUCAUGCUAACUCACCUACCAGGUAAUUUUUUGUUAAUCCCCUCUAAGUCUUUUACAUACGAUCUGAUGAAAUUUGUUACCCUACUACUUGAUUAAUGACUCCCAUCAUGAAUGAUUUUAUUUAUGUCUGUCUAGAUAGCCCAAAUAGCGCAUGUUACUACCCUAAUCUGGGCCAUCGAACUUUCAUGGUAGAUUUUACCGACCCAGUUUCUAUAAUCAUCAUGCAAGAACUCCUAGUCCCACAUUAUAUUUAACUUCUUCCAAAUUUCUUUAACAGAAGUACAGUCACGAAACGCAAGCUUCAGAGUCUCAACACCAUCAGUACAUAUAGGGCAAGCCUUCGAAUUAUUAAUCCGUCUGUAAUGUAAUUUGUUGUUUGUUGGGAGAAAAUUGUUAAAAGCUCUCCAAUGUGUAAUCUUUAUUUUCUUUGGUAGAUUUGUCUACCAUAGUUUCUUGUAAAACUAUUGAAAUGUAUUAGGAUAGUUGUUAGCCAUUUGGCUAUCAUCCUCUUGUAUAAGCAUCUUGUAACCUCUCCUCACAGAGUACUCGCCCGUUGGUUCACCUCUCCAAACCAGCCUGUCUUAAAAAAGAUGACACGAUAGAGGAAUACAGAACACGUUCUCGGCCACUUCAGUAGACAAUAUUCUAGUAAUAGUAUCCACCUUCCAUUGGCU
This 1785-nucleotide long non-coding RNA is filed under the name Gossypium barbadense (sea-island cotton). Its description in RNAcentral is "long non-coding RNA (GBAR_LNC018890)". The record is from RNAcentral. Lineage: Eukaryota; Viridiplantae; Streptophyta; Magnoliopsida; Malvales; Malvaceae.